Long non-coding RNA from Spinacia oleracea (spinach), 1735 nucleotides. RefSeq lists it as uncharacterized. The record is from RefSeq and is a predicted model, not a curated record. The transcript is spliced from 3 exons. NCBI's taxonomy places the organism in Eukaryota, Viridiplantae, Streptophyta, Magnoliopsida, Caryophyllales, Amaranthaceae.
CUGAAACUCUCACUCCCUUGCUCCUUCGUUCGAACCACCAGCAACCACCGUAGGCCACCACUGCAUCCACCACUGACCACCACCGUCCCACACCGUUUGACAACACCUCACCCACUCAGCACCACCAUUGUACCCCCGUUGUCCUCCCUCUCCUUCUCCUCGUCGCUUCCCUGCCUCUCUCCCCUGACUCUCUCCUUUUCUCGGCCCCGCCAGCACCACCACUGUCUCGCACCACCACCUCCAGCCACCCCAUCACUCUAUCAACCAACCUCCGCCUCAAAAACCCCGGCGAGCUUCCCUCCCUCCGCCCAGAACUGCCUCAAGUUACCACCACAAAUUCCCCUGUUUUUCCUUUUGUUUCGCACACUCACCGCCCUUCCUCGUGUUCUGCCGCCGUGAAGCACCACCCUCGUUGCCUCCCGGUGCGGUUCCGGUGCUGCAACACCGCCCAAGACCCGAGCCCAGCGCCACCCUCCUCUCCCCUCAACCUCCCCUGCUUCCCCCCUGUUCGCACUCCCUCUCCCCUUCUGUGCUGUUCCACCGCCGCGAACCAACCACCUUCACCAUCACCGUCAUGCUCCGGCGCGGUCUCGCGCUGCUGCGACACCAGGGCCGCCGCCCAACCCCCCGCCUAGUCGCCCCCUUCCUCCCCUGUUCGCGCGCGCCUUUUCUCCCUCCUCACGCUCUCUCUCUGAAUCGCAAAACCACCGCGCCACUGUGCUGGCGUUACCGCCGACGCCGUUCAGGCCGCACAGACCCGCCGCCACCCUCCCUUCCCUUCCUUUCUUCCUUCUUCGUGCCUGUUGCUUGCCCCUCCCCUCUGCUCGACAUUUCUUAAAAUCAGAAAACCAAUUUCCUGACUUUGAAAUUCUUCCAUUUAACCCAAAACAAAAGGGGAUGGGCCCAAAUUCUAAUGGGCUUUGAAACCGGACUUGGAGCUCAGGAAGAACGAUCCAUCAGACGGGAAGUAUAAAGCUACGGUUGAGGUACUGCGGGGAACGAUGGAAACGAGUAGUGGCGAGGAAUUUCACUUUAAUAUUAAUCACCGAGUUUAUGCUUAAUGUUUUAGUAGUUUAAUUAAAGACUUCUAGUAAGUUAUGUACUUGUAUUUUGGGAAUAUAAAGGAUUAUUAUAUUAAAUUGGAGGAUUUUAUGGCUUAUGUAUGAUGUUGCCUUGUAAUUUCCAAGAGGGAAUUACGGCAGGUAAUGUCCCGACCAAAUUAGGUUAAUUCAGCUGCUAAUUAUACUUUAAUAAGUGAUUUAGAGGUCGGGGCGUUACAGGCAUAAUGUGGUUCGGGAUACCCUUGUUGAUGUUUGUUAUCGGUCUGGGAUCUCGACGCGGAAAGAGGUUGAUAUUGGUCUAUCUGGAGGGAACGAUGGAGCUCUCCGACCAGCAGAUGGGUUACUCUACUCUUGGGAUCGGGGCUGUGAUGUGUUUAUUGACUUGACGGGAUCUUCUCCUUUGACACAGUCUGGGUUGUCUGACUUUGCCCCGGGCCAGGUUGUGACUGAUGCGGCUAUUCGGAAGCGGGUCAAGUACGAAGCAUGUUACUAGGUCAUUGGUUAUGGCUUUCUUCCGUUCUCUUUCUCUUCUUUGGGGGAGCUGGAUAAGGAUGUUGUUGCGUUGCUAAAGCGGAUUCAGAAGUUUUCUAGUACACAUGACAUUGGGGCUCGUGCUGCUGCUCAUAUUUUCAUCGGGAUAGGUUUUCCUAUAGCAAGAGGAGUGGGUGCCCAGA